GACUCAACACGGGGAAACUCACCAGGUCCAGACACGAUGAGGAUUGACAGAUUGAGAGCUCUUUCUUNNUUUCGUGGGUGGUGGUGCAUGGCCGUUCUUAGUUGGUGGAGNGAUUUGUCUGCUUAAUUGCGAUAACGAACGAGACCUUANCCUGCUAACUAGCGACGCGAGCCCUUGUGGCUGGUGGUCCGCUUCUUAGAGGGACUGUCGAUGUCUAAUCGACGGAAGUUUGAGGCAAUAACAGGUNUGUGAUGCCCUUAGAUGUUUUGGGCCGCACGCGCGCUACAAUGACGGAGCCAGCGAGUCUUUCNCCUUGGCCGGAAGGUCUGGGGAAUCUUGUGAAANUCUGUCGUGCUGGGGAUAGUCCAUUNCAAUUAUUGGACUUGAACGAGGAAUUCNUAGUAAGCGCAAGUCAUCAGCUUGCGUUGAUUACGUCCCUGCCCUUUGUACACACCGCCCGUCGCUACUACCGAUUGAAUGGNUUAGUGAGACCUUCGGAUUGGCGGCCGGCUGCCGGCAACGGUGGNUGGUUGCUGAAAAGUUGGUCAAACUUGGUCAUUUAGAGGAAGUAAAAGUCGUAAUCAAGGU
RNAcentral lists this ribosomal RNA (588 nucleotides) under uncultured fungus. RNAcentral's name for it is "bacterial SSU rRNA". It matches the Rfam family "Eukaryotic small subunit ribosomal RNA", at positions 1197 to 1800 of the family's 1831-position model. Lineage: Eukaryota; Fungi. The record is from RNAcentral.